GUACACACCGCCCGUCACACCAUGGGAGUUGGCUGCACCAGAAGAGGCUAGUUUAACCUUCGGGAGGGCGCCGACCACGGUGUGGUCAAUGACUGGGGUGAAGUCGUAACAAGGUAGCCGUAGGUGAACCUGCAGAAGGAUCA
Molecule: ribosomal RNA, 143 nt
Filed under: uncultured eukaryote
Lineage: Eukaryota
Description: partial small subunit ribosomal RNA
Rfam family: Bacterial small subunit ribosomal RNA
Source: RNAcentral